RNAcentral lists this ribosomal RNA (433 nucleotides) under uncultured bacterium. RNAcentral describes it as "partial 16S ribosomal RNA". It matches the Rfam family "Bacterial small subunit ribosomal RNA", at positions 29 to 507 of the family's 1533-position model. The record is from RNAcentral.
AACGAACGCUGGCGGCAUGCCUAACACAUGCAAGUCGAACGAGACCUUCGGGUCUAGUGGCGCACGGGUGCGUAACGCGUGGGAAUCUGCCCUUGGGUUCGGAAUAACAGUUGGAAACGACUGCUAAUACCGGAUGAUGACGUAAGUCCAAAGAUUUAUCGCCCAAGGAUGAGCCCGCGUAGGAUUAGCUAGUUGGCGAGGUAAAGGCUCACCAAGGCGACGAUCCUUAGCUGGUCUGAGAGGAUGAUCAGCCACACUGGGACUGAGACACGGCCCAGACUCCUACGGGAGGCAGCAGUGGGGAAUAUUGGACAAUGGGCGAAAGCCUGAUCCAGCAAUGCCGCGUGAGUGAUGAAGGCCUUAGGGUUGUAAAGCUCUUUUACCCGGGAUGAUAAUGACAGUACCGGGAGAAUAAGCUCCGGCUAACUCCGUG